Molecule: ribosomal RNA, 393 nt
Filed under: uncultured bacterium
Lineage: Bacteria
Description: bacterial SSU rRNA
Rfam family: Bacterial small subunit ribosomal RNA
Source: RNAcentral
GACGAACGCUGGCGGCGUGCCUAACACAUGCAAGUGGAGCGACGAACCAGGCUUCGGCCUGGGGCAAAGCCGCGAACGGGUGAGUAACACGUGGGUAACCUGCCCUGAUGAUUGGGACAACCCGAGGAAACUCGGGCUAAUACCAAAUGUGCCCUUCGGCCACAAGGCCGCUGGGGAAAGGAAGCUUCGGCCUCCGCAUCUGGAUGGGCCCGCGGCCCAUUAGCUUGUUGGUGAGGUAACGGCUCACCAAGGCGACGAUGGGUAGCUGGUCUGAGAGGACGAUCAGCCACACUGGGACUGAGACACGGCCCAGACUCCUACGGGAGGCAGCAGUGGGGAAUCUUGCGCAAUGCGCGAAAGCGUGACGCAGCAACGCCGCGUGGGGGAAGACGG